RNAcentral lists this long non-coding RNA (1972 nucleotides) under Lathyrus oleraceus (garden pea). RNAcentral describes it as "Pisum sativum (pea) long non-coding RNA (PSAT_LNC034064)". The record is from RNAcentral. Lineage: Eukaryota; Viridiplantae; Streptophyta; Magnoliopsida; Fabales; Fabaceae.
GUGUUGAUAUUUGAGUUGUUUUAAAUAUGAAAAUCUAAAAUAAAAUAUAUUGAUAUCAAAAUAUGUUGUUUAAAAAAAUUACAAUGAAAAAAAGAAAUAAAAAAAUGACGUUUUUAUAGACAAAGAUGGGUUAAAGUUAUGAAAAAUAAAACAAAUAUUGAAAAUAACGUAGAGCUACUUUUGUAAGAAACAUGAAACCUAUUAGAUGGAUACAUGGCAAAAGAGCUAAGUUUGUUUUUUUACAUUAUAGGAUGGGUUGAAGCACUCUAAAUGCAUGACUUUGAAUUAAAAUGGCAUUUACAAUUACUUAUUACGUAACUACUGAUUGUAUUUUUUAAUCAUAGUAGCCUUUUCAAGGUGACUAUGUUUACUACACCAAAUCAUUAUUGAAAGAAUCAUUUAUCCUUAUUUCAUAUCUUUUUAUAAAAAAAUCAAAUAUAUGUGUUAAACAAUAAAAUAAGAGAAUAUGCGGAUUUUUUAUGAUUAAUUUAAUUGACUGAAAUUGUAAUGUGUUGAUAUUUGAGUUGUUUUAAAUAUGAAAAUCUUAAAUAAAAUAUAUUGAUAUCAAAAUAUGUUGUUUUAAAAAAAUUACAAUGAAAAAAAGAAAUAAAAAAAUGACAAUGAAAAAAAGAACUUAAAAAAUGACGUUUUUAUAUACAAAGAUGGGUUAAAGUUAUGAAAAAUAAGACAAAUAUUGAAAAUAACGUAGAGCUACUUUUGUUAGAAACAUGAAACCUAUUAGAUGGAUACAUGGCAAAAGAGCUAAGUUUGCUUUUUUACAUUAUAGGAUGGGUUGAAGCACUCUAAAUGGAUGACUUUGAAUUAAAAUGGCAUUUACAAUUACUUAUUACGUAACUACUGAUUGUAUUUUUUAAUCAUAGUAGCCUUUUCAAGGUGACUAUGUUUACUACACCAAAUCAUUAUUGAAAGAAUCAUUUAUCCUUAUUUCAUAUCUUUUUAUAAAAAAAUCAAAUAUAUGUGUUAAACAAUAAAAUAAGAGAAUAUGUAGAUUUUUUAUGAUUAAUUUAAUUGACUGAAAUUGUAAUGUGUUGAUAUUUGAGUUGUUUUAAAUAUGAAAAUCUUAAAUAAAAUAUAUUGAUAUCAAAAUAUGUUGUUUUAAAAAAAUUACAAUGAAAAAAAGAAAUAAAAAAAUGACGUUUUUAUAUACAAAGAUGGGUUAAAGUUAUGAAAAAUAAGACAAAUAUUAAAAAUAACGUAGAGUUACUUUUGUUAGAAACAUGAAACCUAUUAGAUGGAUACAUGGCAAAAGAGGUAAGUUUGCUUUUUUACAUUAUAGGAUGGGUUGAAGAACUCUAAAUGCAUGACUUUGAAUUAAAAUGGCAUUUACAAAUACUGAUUACUUAGCUAAUUUUUGUAUUUUUUCUCAUCAUAGUAGCCUUCUUGAGGUGACUAUGUUUACUACACCAAAUCAUUAUUGAGAGAAUCAUUUAUCCUUAUUUCAUACCUUUUUUAAAAAAAUCAAAUAUAUGUGUUUAACACUAAAACAAGAGAAUAUGUGGAUUUUUUAUGAUUAAUUUUAUUGACUUAAAUUCUAAUGUGUUGAUAUUUGAGUUGUUUUAAAUAUGAAAAUCUAAAAUAAAAUAUAUUGAUAUCAAAAUAUGUUGUUUAAAAAAAUUACAAUGAAAAAAACAAAUAAAAAAAUGACGUUUUUAUAGUCAAAGAUGGGUUAAAUUUAUGAAAAACAAGACAAAUAGUGAAAAUAACGUAGAGCUACUUUUGUUAUAAACAUGAAACCUAUUAGAUGGAUACAUGGCAAAAGAGCUAAGUUUACUUUUUUACAUUAUAGGAUGGGUUGAAGCACUCUAAAUGGAUGACUUUGAAUUAAAAUGGCAUUUACAAUUACUUAUUACGUAACUACUGAUUAUAUUUUUUAAUCAUAGUAGCCUUUUCAAGGUGACUAUGUUUACUACACCAAAUCAUUAUUGAAAGAAUCAUUUAUCCUUAUUUCAUA